UCCUCCAUAGUUCAGUUGGUAGAACGCCGGACUGUUAAUCCGUAUGUCGCUGGUUCAAGUCCAGCUGGAGGAGCCA
Molecule: transfer RNA, 76 nt
Filed under: Morganella psychrotolerans
Lineage: Bacteria; Pseudomonadati; Pseudomonadota; Gammaproteobacteria; Enterobacterales; Morganellaceae
Description: tRNA-Asn
Rfam family: tRNA
About the family: Transfer RNA (tRNA) molecules are approximately 80 nucleotides in length. Their secondary structure includes four short double-helical elements and three loops (D, anti-codon, and T loops).
Source: RNAcentral